CUACGGGAGGCAGCAGUGGGGAAUUUUGGACAAUGGGGGCAACCCUGAUCCAGCCAUGCCGCGUGAGUGAAGAAGGCCUUCGGGUUGUAAAGCUCUUUCGGACGGGAAGAAAUGGGGCUCUCUAACAUAGGGCGUCGAUGACGGUACCGUAAGAAGAAGCACCGGCUAACUACGUGCCAGCAGCCGCGGUAAUACGUAGGGUGCGAGCGUUAAUCGGAAUUACUGGGCGUAAAGCGUGCGCAGGCGGUUGUGUAAGACAGGUGUGAAAUCCCCGGGCUUAACCUGGGAACGGCGCUUGUGACUGCACGGCUAGAGUACGGCAGAGGGGGGUGGAAUUCCACGUGUAGCAGUGAAAUGCGUAGAGAUGUGGAGGAACACCGAUGGCGAAGGCAGCCCCCUGGGCCUGUACUGACGCUCAUGCACGAAAGCGUGGGGAGCAAACAGGAUUAGAAACCCGUGUAGCC
This 464-nucleotide ribosomal RNA is filed under the name uncultured bacterium. RNAcentral's name for it is "bacterial SSU rRNA". It matches the Rfam family "Bacterial small subunit ribosomal RNA", at positions 339 to 795 of the family's 1533-position model. The record is from RNAcentral.